RNAcentral lists this unclassified non-coding RNA (191 nucleotides) under uncultured fungus. Its description in RNAcentral is "sequence contains ITS1". The record is from RNAcentral. Lineage: Eukaryota; Fungi.
AUACACCCCGCGCAGCAACAUUGUUACAUGUUUGCGUUGGGGAAACGAUGUGUGACACCCAGGCAGGCGUGCCCUCGGCCUAAUGGCUUCGGGCGCAACUUGCGUUCAAAGACUCGAUGGUUCACGGGAUUCUGCAAUUCACACCAAGUAUCGCAUUUCGCUGCGUUCUUCAUCGAUGCUUACCGACAGCU